ACGGAGUGAAGGAGCUUGCUCUUUCAUUUAGUGGCGCACGGGUGAGUAACGCGUAGAUAAUCUGCCUUAGACUCUGGGAUAACAUCUCGAAAGGGGUGCUAAUACCGGAUAAGCCCACGAUGGCGUAAGUCAUUGCGGGAAAAGGGGGCCUCUGAAUAUGCUCUUGAUCUAAGAUGAGUCUGCGUACCAUUAGCUAGUUGGUAGGGUAAGAGCCUACCAAGGCGACGAUGGUUAGCUGGUCUGAGAGGAUGAUCAGCCACACUGGAACUGAGACACGGUCCAGACUCCUACGGGAGGCAGCAGUGGGGAAUUUUGCGCAAUGGGGGAAACCCUGACGCAGCAACGCCGCGUGAGUGAUGAAGGCUUUCGGGUCGUAAAGCUCUGUCUAGAGGGAAGAAAUGAUAAUCGGUUAAUACCCGGUUUUCUUGACGGUACCUCUGAAGGAAGCACCGGCUAACUCCGUG
RNAcentral lists this ribosomal RNA (464 nucleotides) under uncultured bacterium. RNAcentral's name for it is "bacterial SSU rRNA". It matches the Rfam family "Bacterial small subunit ribosomal RNA", at positions 66 to 507 of the family's 1533-position model. The record is from RNAcentral.